Molecule: ribosomal RNA, 369 nt
Filed under: Triticum aestivum (bread wheat)
Lineage: Eukaryota; Viridiplantae; Streptophyta; Magnoliopsida; Poales; Poaceae
Description: partial small subunit ribosomal RNA
Source: RNAcentral
AUGAAUAGCAAUCGAGCUCCUGGCCCGGAUAACAUACCAGUGGAGUUUUAUAAACACUGCUGGGACUUUGUUAAAAACGAUAUUAUGCGCUUGUUUGAUCCUUUUCACGACAACACUUUAGAUGUUGCUCGCCUGAAUUAUGGGGUGAUCACCCUUAUCCCCAAAAUGAAUGGAGCUAAGAAAAUCCAGCAAUAUAGACCGAUUUGCCUUCUCCGUUGCCCAUACAAACUUAUCACUAAAGUUUUGGAUAACAGAGUGGCUAUUUUCGAUGAUAUGCUCAUCAGCAAACAUCAAAAUGCCUUCAUAAAGCAUAGAAACAUUAUGGAUGGCAUUUUGACCCUGCAUGAAAUUCUUCACCACACGCAGUGA